UUGCUAUCUGCGAUAUGGAAGAUUCGAACCUGCCGCAGGUCCGGGUCUCACGCAGUGAGACAACGGAGCCGCUUGCGGCGACGGCCCGAAGGGCGAGCAAAGCGAGUCAUCCUGCACGACCCACCA
Molecule: small RNA, 126 nt
Filed under: Salmonella enterica subsp. enterica serovar Muenchen
Lineage: Bacteria; Pseudomonadati; Pseudomonadota; Gammaproteobacteria; Enterobacterales; Enterobacteriaceae
Also listed under: 3 other names
Description: RtT sRNA
Rfam family: RtT RNA
About the family: This family represents a bacterial cis-regulatory element known as RtT RNA. The exact function of RtT is unknown although it is thought that it may be involved in changing the cellular response in relation to amino acid starvation.
Source: RNAcentral